UACGUAGGGUGCAAGCGUUGUCCGGAAUUAUUGGGCGUAAAGAGCUCGUAGGCGGUGUGUCGCGUCGGCCGUGAAAACCUGGGGCUCAACUCUGGGCGUGCGGUCGAUACGGGCAUCACUUGAGUUCGGCAGGGGAGACUGGAAUUCCUGGUGUAGCGGUGAAAUGCGCAGAUAUCAGGAGGAACACCGGUGGCGAAGGCGGGUCUCUGGGCCGAUACUGACGCUGAGGAGCGAAAGCAUGGGUAGCGAACAGG
This 254-nucleotide ribosomal RNA is filed under the name uncultured bacterium. Its description in RNAcentral is "partial 16S ribosomal RNA". It matches the Rfam family "Bacterial small subunit ribosomal RNA", at positions 524 to 776 of the family's 1533-position model. The record is from RNAcentral.